UGCAGCCCGUAAAAAAACGAUCUUUUCAAAAAUCAAAGUUACAAUAAAUAAAAAUCAUCAAUUCUACUACGUCCUAAAAUCCCCAAAAUGCAACUAGCGUUUCUCCGUUGAAUUGCAAUAGAAACCUUUUGUAAUAAGUAAUCCAUUGAUCGUGGUUCGCCAGAAGCUUUUCGCAUUAAUGAACCCAAUUUCUUUAUAAAUGUACUUGUUUCAGGACCCAUGCAACCUAGUGAUUCAAAAGCAAUAGGUGUAAAUAAGUAAAAUGGAGCUAGUGUGUCUAAUGGUUACAUCCCACAAAAUCGGCUUACCGUGACUCCAUGGAAUUAGAGUCAUACCGUCCGGUCUUUUACCGUCGUCUCUAGAAAUGCC
This is a long non-coding RNA of Bradysia coprophila, 369 nucleotides long. The record is from RefSeq and is a predicted model, not a curated record. NCBI's taxonomy places the organism in Eukaryota, Metazoa, Arthropoda, Insecta, Diptera, Sciaridae.